RNAcentral lists this ribosomal RNA (409 nucleotides) under uncultured bacterium. RNAcentral's name for it is "bacterial SSU rRNA". It matches the Rfam family "Bacterial small subunit ribosomal RNA", at positions 355 to 781 of the family's 1533-position model. The record is from RNAcentral.
UGGGGAAUAUUGGACAAUGGGCGAAAGCCUGAUCCAGCAAUGCCGCGUGAGUGAUGAAGGCCUUAGGGUUGUAAAGCUCUUUUAGCAGGGAAGAUAAUGACGGUACCUGCAGAAUAAGCCCCGGCUAACUUCGUGCCAGCAGCCGCGGUAAUACGAAGGGGGCUAGCGUUGUUCGGAAUUACUGGGCGUAAAGGGCGCGUAGGCGGUUUGUCAAGUCAGUUGUGAAAUCUCCGAGCUUAACUCGGAACGGUCAACUGAUACUGUCAAACUAGAGUACAGAAGGGGCAAUCGGAAUUCUUGGUGUAGCGGUGAAAUGCGUAGAUAUCAAGAGGAACACCUGAGGCGAAGGCGGGUUGCUGGGCUGAUACUGACGCUGAAGCGCGAAAGCUAGGGUAGCAAACGGGAUUAG